GUCCUGGCCGUAAACGAUGGGUACUAGGUGUAGGAGGUAUCGACCCCUUCUGUGCCGGAGUUAACGCAAUAAGUACCCCGCCUGGGGAGUACGAUCGCAAGGUUGAAACUCAAAGGAAUUGACGGGGCCCGCACAAGCGGUGGAGUAUGUGGUUUAAUUCGACGCAACGCGAAGAACCUUACCAGGUCUUGACAUUGAUGGACGAAACAAGAGAUUGUUUUCUCCUUCGGGAGCCAGAAAACAGGUGGUGCACGGCUGUCGU
RNAcentral lists this ribosomal RNA (262 nucleotides) under uncultured bacterium. RNAcentral describes it as "partial 16S ribosomal RNA". It matches the Rfam family "Bacterial small subunit ribosomal RNA", at positions 793 to 1055 of the family's 1533-position model. The record is from RNAcentral.